This 977-nucleotide ribosomal RNA is filed under the name uncultured bacterium. RNAcentral's name for it is "bacterial SSU rRNA". It matches the Rfam family "Bacterial small subunit ribosomal RNA", at positions 28 to 1009 of the family's 1533-position model. The record is from RNAcentral.
GAUGAACGCUAGCGGCAGGCUUAACACAUGCAAGUCGAGGGGUAGGGGAAGCUUGCUUCUCUGAGACCGGCGCACGGGUGCGUAACGCGUAUGCAAUCUACCUUUCACAAAGGGAUAGCCCAGAGAAAUUUGGAUUAAUACCUCAUAGUAUAAUUGAAUGGCAUCAUUUAAUUAUUAAAGAUUUAUCGGUGAAAGAUGAGCAUGCGUCCCAUUAGCUAGUUGGUAUGGUAACGGCAUACCAAGGCAACGAUGGGUAGGGGUCCUGAGAGGGAGAUCCCCCACACUGGUACUGAGACACGGACCAGACUCCUACGGGAGGCAGCAGUGAGGAAUAUUGGACAAUGGGCGCAAGCCUGAUCCAGCCAUGCCGCGUGCAGGAUGACGGUCCUAUGGAUUGUAAACUGCUUUUAUACAGGAAGAAACCCCUCUACGUGUAGAGACUUGACGGUACUGUAAGAAUAAGGAUCGGCUAACUCCGUGCCAGCAGCCGCGGUAAUACGGAGGAUCCAAGCGUUAUCCGGAAUCAUUGGGUUUAAAGGGUCCGUAGGCGGUCAGAUAAGUCAGUGGUGAAAGCCCAUCGCUCAACGGUGGAACGGCCAUUGAUACUGUCUGACUUGAAUUAUUAGGAAGUAACUAGAGUAUGUAGUGUAGCGGUGAAAUGCUUAGAGAUUACAUGGAAUACCAAUUGCGAAGGCAGGUUACUACUAAUAUAUUGACGCUGAUGGACGAAAGCGUGGGUAGCGAACAGGAUUAGAUACCCUGGUAGUCCACGCCGUAAACGAUGGAUACUAGCUGUUGGGCGCAAGUUCAGUGGCUAAGCGAAAGUGAUAAGUAUCCCACCUGGGGAGUACGAACGCAAGUUUGAAACUCAAAGGAAUUGACGGGGGCCCGCACAAGCGGUGGAGCAUGUGGUUUAAUUCGAUGAUACGCGAGGAACCUUACCAAGGCUUAAAUGUAGUUUGACCGGUUGGAAACAG